AUGAAUAUCAAAAGCUGUGGUGUUGUGGCGAGCCUCAAAAAAUGGUCUGAAUCUGUGGGUGCCAAGGGUGUACUUAACAUUGCUUGGGUCAAUGUUAGCAACAUUCCUUUGGACAAAAGAUGUGAAAGAAAUAUUGCCUAUGUUGGAUCUUUGGUGGGUGUAACCCUGGACAUCGGCAAAGCUACUGUCAAUAGACCCGAGUCGGUCAGAAUUAAAUUGGGAUGUAGAGAUGCU
This 234-nucleotide ribosomal RNA is filed under the name Triticum aestivum (bread wheat). RNAcentral describes it as "partial small subunit ribosomal RNA". Lineage: Eukaryota; Viridiplantae; Streptophyta; Magnoliopsida; Poales; Poaceae. The record is from RNAcentral.